UGAAUACGAGACGCUAAGGCGUCGAAGUAGUGUAUGUCAUACUUCCAAGAAAAGCUUGCACUGUCAUAGAUAAAAAACGCCUGUACCAUAACCGACACAGGUGGGUAGGUAGAGUAUACUAAGGGGCGCGAGAUAACUCUCUCUAAGGAACUCGGCAAAAUAACUCCGUAACUUCGGGAGAAGGAGUGCCUUAUUAUUAAGGCUGCAAUAACAAGAUCCAAGCAACUGUUUAUCAAAAACACAGGUCUCCGCUAAGUCGUAAGACGAUGUAUGGGGGCUGACGCCUGCCCAGUGCCAGAAGGUUAAAGAAGUUGGUUAGCAUUUGCGAAGCUGAUAACUGAAGCCCUGGUGAACGGCGGCCGUAACUAUAACGGUCCUAAGGUAGCGAAAUUCCUUGUCGGGUAAGUUCCGACCCGCACGAAAGGCGUAAUGAUUUGGAUACUGUCUCGGAGAGGGGCUCGGUGAAAUAGACUUGUCUGUGAAGAUGCGGACUACCUGCACCAGGACAGAAAGACCCUAUGAAGCUUUACUGUAACUUGAAAUUGAAAUUGGACUUUAUUCGCGCAGCAUAGGUGGGAGGCGUUGAUUAUAAUCUUGUGGGAUUAUUGGAGCCAUCAGUGAGAUACCACUCUUGUAAUGUUAGAUUUCUAACUUUGAAUCAUUAUCUGGUCAAAGAACAGUUUCAGGCGGGCAGUUUGACUGGGGCGGUCGCCUCCUAAACGGUAACGGAGGCGUACAAAGGUUUCCUCUGAACGGUUAGAAAUCGUAUCUAGAGUGUAAAGGCAUAAGGAAGCUUGACUGUGAGACCUACAAGUCGAGCAGGGACGAAAGUCGGUCUUAGUGAUCUGACGGUACUGAGUGGAAAGGCCGUCACUCAACGGAUAAAAGUUACUCUAGGAUAACAGGCUGAUCUCCCCCAAGAGUUCACAUCGACGGGGAGGUUUGGCACCUCGAUGUCGGCUCAUCGCAUCCUGGGGCGGUAGUACGUCCCAAGGGUUGGGCUGUUCGCCCAUGAAAGCGGUACGCGAGCUGGGUUCAGAACGUCGUGAGACAGUUCGGUCCAUAUCCGGUGUAGGCGUUAGAAUAUUGAGAGGAGCCUUCUUUAGUACGAGAGGACCGAGAAGGACAUACCUCUGGUGUACCAGUUAUCGUGCCAACGGUAAACGCUGGGUAGCUAUGUAUGGAGUGGAUAACCGCUGAAAGCAUCUAAGUGGGAAGCCCACCUC
This 1226-nucleotide ribosomal RNA is filed under the name metagenome. Its description in RNAcentral is "bacterial LSU rRNA". It matches the Rfam family "Bacterial large subunit ribosomal RNA", at positions 1564 to 2800 of the family's 2925-position model. The record is from RNAcentral.